CCUACGGGUGGCAGCAGUGAGGAAUAUUGGUCAAUGGGCGGAAGCCUGAACCAGCCAAGCCGCGUGAGGGAGGAAGGUACAGAGUAUCGUAAACCUCUUUUGUCAGGGAACAAAGGCGGGGACGUGUCCCCGGAUGAGUGUACCUGAAGAAAAAGCAUCGGCUAACUCCGUGCCAGCAGCCGCGGUAAUACGGAGGAUGCGAGCGUUAUCCGGAUUUAUUGGGUUUAAAGGGUGCGCAGGCGGUCUGUUAAGUCAGCGGUCAAAGCCCGGGGCUCAACCCCGGCCCGCCGUUGAAACUGGCAGUCUCGAGUUGGAGAGAAGUAUGCGGAAUGCGCGGUGUAGCGGUGAAAUGCAUAGAUAACGCGCAGAACUCCGAUUGCGAAGGCAGCAUGCCGGCUCCACACUGACGCUGAGGCACGAAAGCGUGGGUAUCGAACAGGAUUAGAUACCCGAGUAGUC
RNAcentral lists this ribosomal RNA (459 nucleotides) under uncultured bacterium. Its description in RNAcentral is "partial 16S ribosomal RNA". It matches the Rfam family "Bacterial small subunit ribosomal RNA", at positions 338 to 795 of the family's 1533-position model. The record is from RNAcentral.